UCUGUGAUUCUCUGUGUAAG
Molecule: small nuclear RNA, 20 nt
Filed under: Arabidopsis thaliana (thale cress)
Lineage: Eukaryota; Viridiplantae; Streptophyta; Magnoliopsida; Brassicales; Brassicaceae
Description: snRNA_12806
Source: RNAcentral